GAGAUUAACAAGAGGCUGGAUGCUGCGUCCAUCACCAGAGGGGCCGGGAUUGCUGCGGCAGCUAGCCAAUUAAAGGAGGAGGAUGAAGGAGAGGAGUCUGACGAUGCAGACAUCGCCAUCGUAUGCAGGCCACGCCCUCGCAGGAAAACCAGCCAAUGAAAACGCUCGCAGCAGCAUCAGCAGAACACACCGGCACGACUGACAGGGCUUCUGAAGCAUGCAGUGGAAGAGCUGUCAGUCAAGCUAAAGGUCCCGCCCUCCAACCUGCUGCUGCUGCACGGACAGGCGGAACUUAACACCUCACACACUAUUGGCCAGCUAGGACUCUGCAUCGCUGACAUCAUUGUCUGGAACCAACUUCACAUCCCUCUUCACUGCACUACUGACACUGAGAUGGAAUCCACAACCCAACCACUAGUGGUCUGCAUUGGGAAUCUGAAGAGUCUGUCAUCACCGCCAGGAAUGACCGCGUGACCAUUCCCGUUGCAGACGGCCUGACUUGCACAAUUGACAAGCUGUUCAACUGGGUCUGCAACUUG
Molecule: long non-coding RNA, 539 nt
Organism: Engraulis encrasicolus (European anchovy)
Lineage: Eukaryota; Metazoa; Chordata; Actinopteri; Clupeiformes; Engraulidae
Exons: 3
Source: RefSeq, a predicted model, not a curated record